AUGUCUGAAGAAGGAAGAAAAAGUGCAGCGUCCGUCUGCUCCAAGAAAUCGCAUCACUCCAAGAGCUCUAAAGGUUCAGUUAAAUCAUCUGCCAGUAUAGCCGCUCUCAAUGCUCGAGCUGAAGCAGCUCGUACAAGAGCAGAAUUUGCAAAAAUGGAAAUUGAAAUGAAAGUUAAGAAAGCGGAGCUUAAAGUAGAAGAGGUGCGCCUGGAUGCCACACUACAAGCACUAAAACAGCAGUGUGAUGCAGAAGCCGCACAAGCUGAGGCGUAUGUCUUUGAGAAAGCGGCCACUGAUCUCGAAGAAGAAUCUGCAUUGGGGUCCGUGAAGGUAGAUUCCACAGAACGUACUCGCGACUAUGUAAAACACCAAAUAAUCCUAAAGGCAGAUUCAAGUCCACUUAGCAACAUAGAGCACAAUGAUACUCUAGCAACAACUGUCCCAUACGAGCCACCAAAACGAGAACCAGGCCAGUCUACGGACACAGAGUACGUCCAUCCACCCCCGGGUGCAGACAAACGUAAAGAUGUUCCCCAGCUUUCCCAAAGCAUUCCUGGGCGGAAACUUUCAUUUGGAGCAUUACCGACACAUCAAAGUACGGGAUACACUCCACAAGUUGGCAAUAUGACUGAUAUAGCCAGGUUCCUAGCACGACGUGAUUUGCUCACUGGCGGCCUCAGAAAGUUCAGUGACAAGCCAGGUGACUAUUGGGGAUGGAAAUCUUCAUUUAACAAUGUUAUUGAUGAUUUGAACCUGUCUGCUAGUGAAGAAUUUGACUUGUUGAUCAAAUGGUUAGGAGCAGAGUCAGUUCAAUAUGCUAAACGUCUGAGAGCAGUGUAUAUUAACAGACCCUCUGAAGGAUUUGGCAAAGUAUGGGAAAGACUGGACAAGUGCUACGGCUCCCCUGAAGCCCUGGAGAAGCCGCUACUUGACAGACUUGAGCGUUUUCCGAGAAUCUCGAACAAAGACCCAUACCUCUUGAGAGAACUUCAGGAUCUUCUCCUAGAGAUAGAGACUGCAAAGGAUGAAGGCUAUAUCCCAGGCCUACUGUACCUCGACACUGCAAGGGGCAUUCAUCCUGUUGUGGAGAAGUUACCCUUUGGUUUGCAAGAAAAGUGGAUGACGUAUGGGUCUAAAUACAAGGAGGAGCAUUCUGUAUCCUUUCCACCAUUCUCAGCAUUUGUAGCCUUCAUUAGCAGGGAAUCAAAAAUGCGCAACGACCCAAGCUUUAAGCAUUCAGUGCAACCCGGUCUUGUACCCACUAAGAUGAGGUUUCAGGACAAGCAGAGUAAGAGAGAAGCAAUCUCAGUCAUCUGGACUGAAGUGGUCAGUACAGAGCCAAACCAACUGCAGGAACAAACAUCCACGACCCAAAUAAAGAAUGCCCAAUCCACAAGAAACCUCACGCGCUUAAAAAUGCAGAGCUUUCAGAGAAAUGCCUUUGGAGGAGCGUAA
Molecule: long non-coding RNA, 1455 nt
Organism: Cyprinus carpio (common carp)
Lineage: Eukaryota; Metazoa; Chordata; Actinopteri; Cypriniformes; Cyprinidae
Source: Ensembl